UUCGUGUUAGGUGGCAUUGUAACCAUUACAAUGCAGUAUUUGAGGCCAUGCCCUCAGGAACUUAUAGUAAGGGUGAGAAGAUGUAUGUAAAACUCUAUCUAUCCAAUGGAGCAAGAUUAUAGGUUACCCCACCUGAACAUCCUCCUGGGAGGAAGCAGGGCAUGAAUCCGAAGGAAUUAGUGAAGUCCUUCCAUAGCCAUCCUUGAUGGUGGAGCGGGGGUGUGUCUCAGCAAAAAGGGCUGAAGUAUAAGGUGCUGGGACCAGUUGUCAGUAAAGGCAGUAUGAUUCAAUGAAUCAAUUAAAUCAGGAUGGAGAAGGGAAGCAAAAAGUCCAAGCCAGAUAAGUGGAACUACCCAUGAAACUGGAGGGUGUGGUGAACAAAAGCAAAAUGAUUAGUCACAAGGUCAGGAGCAAGUGGCCCCAGGAUGAAGAAAGGUAGCUAGAUGGAGGAUGGUUCUCCUCAUUCCGCAGAUGAUGAACUUGAAACCAGUGACAGUGAGUGAGUUUCAG
Long non-coding RNA from Homo sapiens (human), 510 nucleotides. Ensembl annotates it as long intergenic non-protein coding RNA 2625. The record is from Ensembl. Lineage: Eukaryota; Metazoa; Chordata; Mammalia; Primates; Hominidae.